Molecule: transfer RNA, 76 nt
Filed under: Candidatus Epulonipiscium sp.
Lineage: Bacteria; Bacillati; Bacillota; Clostridia; Lachnospirales; Lachnospiraceae
Description: tRNA-His
Rfam family: tRNA
About the family: Transfer RNA (tRNA) molecules are approximately 80 nucleotides in length.
Source: RNAcentral
GGUGGUAGUAGCUUAGUUGGUUAGAGCACCAGAUUGUGGCUCUGGGGGCCGGGGGUUCGAAUCCCCUCUUCCACCU